GAUGAACGCUGGCGGCGUGCCUAAUACAUGCAAGUCGAGCGAACAGAUGAGGAGCUUGCUCCUCUGACGUUAGCGGCGGAGGUGUGAGUAACACGUGUAUAACCUACCUGUAAGACGGGUAUAACUUCGGGAAACCGGAGCUAAUCCCGGAUAAUCUAUUGAACCGCGUGGUUCGUUGGUGAGAGUCGGCGUUGCGGGCAGUACUAGCUGCAUCCGGGCCGCAUUGGGUGGUUGUUAAGGUAACGGCUUACCAAGGCUACGAUGCCUAGCCGACCGGAGGGGGUGAUCGGCCACUCUGGAAGUGACACGCGGCACAGGGACCUACGGAAGGCAGAAGUAGGGAAUCUUGCGAAAUGGGCGAAAGCCUGAAGGAGCGGCGGAGCGUGAGUGAAGAAGGUCUGCGGAUCGUAAAACUCUGUUAUGAGGGAAGAACAAAUGUGUAAGUAACUAUGCACGUCUUGACGGAACGUAAUAAGAAAGCCACGGCAAAUUACGU
This 496-nucleotide ribosomal RNA is filed under the name uncultured bacterium. RNAcentral describes it as "partial 16S ribosomal RNA". It matches the Rfam family "Bacterial small subunit ribosomal RNA", at positions 28 to 506 of the family's 1533-position model. The record is from RNAcentral.